This 253-nucleotide ribosomal RNA is filed under the name uncultured bacterium. RNAcentral's name for it is "partial 16S ribosomal RNA". It matches the Rfam family "Bacterial small subunit ribosomal RNA", at positions 524 to 776 of the family's 1533-position model. The record is from RNAcentral.
UACAGAGGUGGCAAGCGUUGUUCGGAAUCAUUGGGCGUAAAGGGCGCGUAGGCGGCCUGCCAAGUCGGGUGUGAAAUCCCUCGGCCCAACCGAGGAACUGCACUCGAUACUGGCUGGCUAGAGUCCGGGAGGGGAUGGUGGAAUUCCCAGUGUAGCGGUGAAAUGCGUAGAUAUUGGGAAGAACACCGGUGGCGAAGGCGGCCAUCUGGACCGGAACUGACGCUGAGGCGCGAAAGCCAGGGGAGCGAAUGGG